Long non-coding RNA from Poeciliopsis prolifica (blackstripe livebearer), 428 nucleotides. RefSeq lists it as uncharacterized. The record is from RefSeq and is a predicted model, not a curated record. NCBI's taxonomy places the organism in Eukaryota, Metazoa, Chordata, Actinopteri, Cyprinodontiformes, Poeciliidae. The transcript has 3 exons.
GCAGCCCGGCUCCAUUCACGCUGCAAUACGGCAGAGGCCACGGCGUAUUGUAGGGAAGUGAAUAGUAUAAGUCAUCCAGGGGAGCACAAUGCGGCAGCGGCUGGAUGACGUGCAGGUGCUGUUGUUUAUCUGCUUUGAUUUGAAGAAAUGAAUCGUCAUUUAGCCCUGAUUUGACCUCCGUCUUGUUCUGCUCGUUAGAGCGUUUUCAUACUGCAGAGCUUCACAUUUUCACCCUCCGAAGCUCGUUAUUCCCGAUGGUUAUUGGGACACUUCUGGAAAAUAGAUGGACUUCUCAGCACGCCGGACCUUCUGAGAGCAGAUCUACUGCAUCUAUGGAAAGUAUUCACCCGCUUUUUACUGCUUUUACAAAAUCGAUCACGGUCAGUAAAAUGUAACUUUUUUGAUUAAAAAAAUAAGAAAAAAAAUCC